AAUUAUCAAACCGGGAUGCUUUUUUGUUUCUCGGCUUGGUGUUGGGCUUUGCAGUUCCUUUGAUUGGGAUGGCUGGCCUCAAAAGUAUUAGCUGGCUUUUCAUGUGGCAUUGGUUCUACUCAGCGUGAUAAUGAUCUGACCGCUGAGGACAUCUUCCGGCCGGGGAUGACCAAUUCUCAUUUGGGCUGCUUCUAAUUUUGGUAGAGCGGAUUCUGAAUCUGUUCCACUUUUUCAGC
This 236-nucleotide unclassified non-coding RNA is filed under the name uncultured Clavulina. Its description in RNAcentral is "sequence contains ITS2". The record is from RNAcentral. Lineage: Eukaryota; Fungi; Basidiomycota; Agaricomycetes; Cantharellales; Hydnaceae.